UACGUAGGGCGCAAGCGUUGUCCGGAAUUAUUGGGCGUAAAGAGCUCGUAGGCGGCUUGUCACGUCGGGGUGUGAAAGCCCGGGGCUUAACCCCGGGUCUGCAUUCGAUACGGGCUAGCUAGAGUGUGGUAGGGGAGAUCGGAAUUCCUGGUGUAGCGGUGAAAUGCGCAGAUAUCAGGAGGAACACCGGUGGCGAAGGCGGAUCUCUGGGCCAUUACUGACGCUGGAGGAGCGAAAGCGUGGGGAGCGAACAGG
RNAcentral lists this ribosomal RNA (255 nucleotides) under uncultured bacterium. RNAcentral describes it as "partial 16S ribosomal RNA". It matches the Rfam family "Bacterial small subunit ribosomal RNA", at positions 524 to 776 of the family's 1533-position model. The record is from RNAcentral.